AAUAUCAUACAUUAAAAUCCCACCUGAUCUCAACAUGGGCAGUUGUAUGGAAGAAAAGGAGGAGAAAUGAAAGCAUUCUGUUGGGGACCUCAUGCAGACCUUUUUGUGACAAAAUGUGGAGGUAUGAUUAAUUCUACAUCUUGAUAGAAAAAUUUAGUAUUUAAUUUGCUUAGUGCAAACUCAUGAGAGGACUCAGAAUUUUUUUAAAAUAGCAUGAAAAACUUUUAAAUAAUUGUAGUCCAAAGAAGGGGAAGGAGGAGGAAAUGAAGAAGGAGUAGGAAGAGAGGGAAGAAGAGGAGGAACAAAUAAGAGAACAUCAUAAAUAAAUAGCAAAUCUGGGUAGCAAAAACAAGUGUUAAUACAGAACAUUAAAUGUGAAUUGAUUAAAUAAAUGAAAUUUACCUUUUAAAAAACCAUUUAUUUUGAUUUAAAAAUUCAAUCAGAUGCUGUUUAUAAAGGACACAACUAAAAUAAAAAUUGCAGUGUGAUUGAAAAUAGAUUAAAAAUUUAAAAUCUGACAGAACUUUCCCAUGUACAUAUAUGAAUAUGUACCAAUAAAACUUCGUAUCAUGUACAACCACAGGAACGGGAACCUCAUUAGAAUAAGUUAUACUUCAUGUAUACAUAAUAUGUCAAAAUAUACUCUACUGUCAUAUAUAUCUAAAAAUAAUAAAUAAAAACUUAUGCUUGGGCUGGGAUUGUGGCUCAGUGGUAGAGCGCUCGCCUAGCACGUGUGAGGCCCUGAGUUUGAUCCUCAACACCACAUAAAAAUAAAUAAAUAAAAUAAAGAUAUUGGUCCAACUAAAAAUAAAUAUUGAAAAAAACAUAUGCUAAUGCUUACAGAAAAAUAAAACAAAUGUAGAAGUUGUAAUAUCAGAAAAACUGAAUUCAAGAGAAAAGCUUGGCAAGGUUCAGAGGAAGAUAUUUGACACUGAUUACCCACCAACAUAAUAGAAGCACAUGAAGCUCUCUGUACCUAAGAGCAUAGCUCAGAAAUAGAAUGAAAUGUGACAUUCACAUGGGGAGAAAUUGUCAGAGGUUUGAAACCAUUUCUCUCAAAGUAUCAACAUACUGGGUGUGGAAUUUCCUUUAAGUAGGCCAAAAAGAAACAAAAAAUAAUAAUCUCAAUGAAUGGCAAAGAAUUGAAAUUAUGUACUCUACAUUGGCUGACCACAAUGAAAUAAAACAUUUUUUAAAAAUUUAAAAUGUAACUCAUUGGUAGAGCAUUGGUGGACCCACAAGACCCAGUUCAAUCCCCAGCAACACACACACACACAUUUAAUAAAUUGCUAAUACAGCUGGUCUCAGUGUGCAUGCCUGUAAUCCCAGCAGUUUGGGAGGCUGAGACAGGAGGAUUACCAGUUUAAAGCCAGCCUCAGCAACAGCAAGGCUGUUGCAAUUUUGUGAGACCCUGUCUCUAAAUAAAAUACAAAAUAGGGCUGGGGUUGUGGCUGAGUUCAAAUCCCCCUCCCCCAAAAAAUUGCUAAUACAAAGGCAUUCUUUGUUUGGAAACCUAAAAUAUUUUUAAAAAUAAUUUGUGAAAUUCUAAAUUCUAGAGUAAUGACAGAGUAGUGUUCUAAUUCUAACCUUUCUACCAAUAACAACGGUAAGCUCAAUACAACUGUUUAGAGUCACUAAAGAGUCACGAAAAACUGGCAGAAGCUAGAAGGAAAUUGGUCAUUGAAAGAGGAGAAGUGGUGAGUUCCAUACUGACCCAGCUUUGUUCCUGAGGGCAAGUGCCAGUUUACACUGGGGGAGAGAGUUUAAACAGCAAAUGACAAUCUUACUGGGCUGGGAAGACACACAUUGGGGUUUGAAGCAAUCACAGUUUAAUAAAUAUAAUAAAAUUCUAACAAUUUAGGGGAACUAUCUCAAAAAAGGAAGCAUCUUUAGAAACAAAACCAAAAUCUGCUUUAAAAUCGCCCUUCAAUCCUUGACUGAUUCUCUAAUCUGGGCAAGUCUCCCAGAGACUCAUUGAGAAGAAAUAGCUGGAAGGCUAAAAAAAAUGUUGAGCAGCGAAUCCAGCAAUUGUCCUGAAAUUGAGAGACAGCUUGGAGUUCCAAUUCUACCAAAUUAGGGAUUUGGAAUGCCAGUUAAUUUUAUUAAUUUUAUGUCAAUAUGGCUGUUCCACAGUGCCUGGUGUGCAUUAUUUUGGAUGUUUCCAUGAGAGUGUUUGUGGAUGAGAUUUUUAUUUAAAUUAGUGGACUUUGAAAGUAAAGCACAUUGCCCUCCAUAAUGUCACUGGGCUUGGUCUAAUCAGUUGAAGAUCCAGAUAGAACAAGACUGAUCUCCCCUGAUGAAGAAGAAAUUAUGCAGUAGAUGACCUUCAGACCUGAACUGCAAUAUGAACUCUUUCUGGAUCUUUAGCCUGCCACCCACCAUGCAGAGUUAGUACUUCAAGCCUCUGUAAUUGUGUAAGCUGAUUCCUUAAAAUAAAUCUUUUUAUAUAAAUAAGUCCUGUUUGUUCUGUUAUUUU
Molecule: long non-coding RNA, 2476 nt
Filed under: Marmota monax (woodchuck)
Lineage: Eukaryota; Metazoa; Chordata; Mammalia; Rodentia; Sciuridae
Rfam family: tRNA (bases 695-763)
Source: RNAcentral